AUGAGCAUAGACAAAGAGAGGAAACGAGAGAGGAAGGAAGCCGCAUCACGGGGGCGGGCACAUCAAAGUUUUCCGCGGCGGAAGUCGUCGGCGACAAGAUGCUCGGCGCCCCUCCAGACUCCUCGCGCCCUGCUGAUGAGCUGCCGCGACAGGAGGAUUCGCCAGCAGUUGUGCUGCUGUGCAUCUGGAUGGGGAACUGGCGGGGUCUGCCGUGAGGUGGUGGGCGCCGGUGGUACUGCCCGACGAAAAGGGGGCAGGGGCAGCGCGGCUGUCUUCUCCAUCGUCCACCGGCGCUGCCCUGGUCAGUGUACGUCCUGGACUCACCAGAUCCGGACCCAGGCCCCAUUCUCAUGGUUGGAAUUUGCACCCCGGACGCAUUCUCAUUCACUCUUUUGA
This 396-nucleotide ribosomal RNA is filed under the name Triticum aestivum (bread wheat). RNAcentral's name for it is "partial small subunit ribosomal RNA". The record is from RNAcentral. Lineage: Eukaryota; Viridiplantae; Streptophyta; Magnoliopsida; Poales; Poaceae.